UACGUAGGGUGCGAGCGUUAAUCGGAAUUACUGGGCGUAAAGCGUGCGCAGGCGGUUCGUUGUGUCGGCGGUGAAAGCCCCGGGCUUAACCUGGGAAUGGCCGUUGAAACUGGCGAACUGGAGUGUGGCAGAGGGGGGUGGAAUUCCACGUGUAGCAGUGAAAUGCGUAGAUAUGUGGAGGAACACCGAUGGCGAAGGCAGCCCCCUGGGUUAACACUGACGCUCAUGCACGAAAGCGUGGGGAGCAAACAGG
RNAcentral lists this ribosomal RNA (253 nucleotides) under uncultured bacterium. RNAcentral describes it as "partial 16S ribosomal RNA". It matches the Rfam family "Bacterial small subunit ribosomal RNA", at positions 524 to 776 of the family's 1533-position model. The record is from RNAcentral.